UACGUAGGGCGCAAGCGUUGUCCGGAAUUAUUGGGCGUAAAGAGCUCGUAGGCGGUUUGUCGCGUCUGCUGUGAAAUCCCGAGGCUCAACCUCGGGCUUGCAGUGGGUACGGGCAGACUAGAGUGCGGUAGGGGAGACUGGAAUUCCUGGUGUAGCGGUGGAAUGCGCAGAUAUCAGGAGGAACACCGAUGGCGAAGGCAGGUCUCUGGGCAACUACUGACACUGAGGCACGAAAGCUAGGGGAGCAAACAGG
RNAcentral lists this ribosomal RNA (253 nucleotides) under uncultured bacterium. Its description in RNAcentral is "partial 16S ribosomal RNA". It matches the Rfam family "Bacterial small subunit ribosomal RNA", at positions 524 to 776 of the family's 1533-position model. The record is from RNAcentral.